GUAGACGCGCCUGCGUGGCUGGGUGACUCUGACCACUGAUUUCCUCCAUGAGCCACUGUAGCACCUUUUAUGUUGUGAUACUCCUACAUAUUCAUGGAAGCAGUUAAUCACAUGAUUGUAAAGGAAUAUGCGAAGCUGAUGAGACUAGAGCUAAAGUUCUUUCUCUUGGAUUCCUCAGUUAGGUGCUUGAUCAAGGCUGCGUAUGAGCUUAUUAACAUCGAUGGUGUGCUAAAUGUGAUCAUAAGGAACCUGGAAAAGGAGUAUGUCUCUUAAUGGACAUCUUUCUAUUUUGCAUUGAACUUUGAUUAAUUAUUUUACUGUACAUUUUCCAAAAUUCAAGGAUUGGCUUCUUACUCAUUACAAAUGGUUCCGGUCUUUAUUCUUAGUUUUUACAGUUACAUAAAGAACAAUGUUCAAAUUCACUGACAUGUGCAUUGUGACAGUACUUCACUGUAUGUUCAUUAUAUAUGCAUGUAGCAAUACUUCCUUUCAAUCUAUUCAUUAGUUCGUAAGCUAGAUCGUGUGCCAAGUUGCAUUUACUGGACACUUGCUACUCUUUUCCUUGUGCAAUUAUUCAGUCCUGGUUAUAUUUUGUGGUAUUUCUGAGUUGCAUAAAUGACUCGAAACAUCGGGAGCUACUAAAUCUUACCUGUACUGAAUUUGUGCUUUUUUGUAAUAUCAAAAUACGGUUCUCCUUCAAAGUAUUAUUUUUCCUUCUACUGAAUAUGCUUCUGGAAAAGGAUCUCAACAGAUCAACCAGAAGGAGAAGAGAGCAGCCAAAGAGAAGUUAAGAACAAGACACAUGCUUCAGAUUAACUCCUAUUCCUGGACCUAUAUGCUUUUGAUGAUUGAAUUAGAUAAAACAAGUAUAUAUUUCUAAAGAUUAAUGGAUUCUAAUCGUAUGAUUUUGACAUGCAGCUAAGUUUUCCAUAUGUCUGACUAUUGUGUUGCCGUGCAAAUAUGCAGAAGGAUGGUCUACCUUUUUGGGACUUGGUUUUGUGAAUCGAUGUGUUAUCUUGAGCAAAUAUCUUACUAUUUGUACAAUGUUAUAAUAUGAACUUUUACUAUUGAUAUAUCAUA
This is a long non-coding RNA of Triticum urartu, 1080 nucleotides long. RefSeq lists it as uncharacterized. The record is from RefSeq and is a predicted model, not a curated record. NCBI's taxonomy places the organism in Eukaryota, Viridiplantae, Streptophyta, Magnoliopsida, Poales, Poaceae.